CACAUAUUUUUUCAUAAUAACGAGCAGGGGUGAGGCCACAAAUGUUCAAGUUGGUGGGGCUACAUAAAACUGGAAGGGCAAAGUGAAGUGUAGGUCUAUAAAAACUGCAUGUCAAAUUGUCAACAGAAUAUACAGAACAAAGGGUUAAUAUACAAUACUUCUAAAUCAUUCAUAAACUUUCAUUUUAAUUUCAGCAUUUACAAAUACAUAAUUAAAAUUAAAUGGUGUAUCUUUUAACAUAACUGUCAACAUUUGUAUUCUAACAAAAAUAACAACUAACAGUUCUAUUUUUUUAUUACCUAACGUUAACAAAUAUAUUGUAACAAAUGUAUUGCUCAUUGUUAAUGUUAGUUAUAUCUUUCCUAUUCUUGGAACAAAAUUAAUGCUUAAAGUUGAUUCAGUAUUACUCUUAAAGAAAAAAAAGAAAAAAUCCCACACACAACAUCCCGAUGUCAGUGUCGUGGACUUGAGAUUCCUUCUUUUACCCUGGUCUUAGUUCCUGCUUUCCUUAUUUGGUCAUGUUUCCUGUGCCUGUCGUUAUGUUGAUUUCAUUCCAGGUGUUGCCCGUCUGUUUUGAUUGAUCCCAGGUGUGUCUUGUUUCCCCUCAUCUUGUCUAGUGUUUAAAUAGUAUUGUAUUUAGUCUAGUGUCUGGUAUUGUGUUCCUGCAUUCCAGAACUAUGUUCUAUGUUGUUUUGAGUUCAUUAAAGUCUGCUGAUUUUGAGCUACUCCUGUGUCUCUGUGUUCCAUUGCCCCCUGGGAGGUUGUUACAGAAUACCGGACCAAAAAAGGAAAGAAGAAUGACAGUGCCUGAGGAUUGGCUAUGCUGCUUGCGGCAGGGUGGUUGGCCAUUGGAACAGUAUGUGGAGGAAUUCCUCAAGCUUUCUUAUCGGGGAUGGACUUCCUACAGCGCUGACCUGGGGGCCAAAGUUUAUGACCCUGCAUUAGUCUGUCAGGUCAGAGCUAAAGGCUGUUCCCCUUCCACUACCUCCAGCCAUCUCGGUCCUUGGCCCCGAAUUGCUGGCCGCUGCUGAUGCCCCAUUCACCCCAACCCAAAUGAGGAGGAUGAGGAGAAAGACUGUACUCAGCCCUUAUCCUUGCUCCAGUCCCAGAGCUCACUCCAGUGUUGGCUCCUUAUCCCCCGUUAAGUUAAGCCCAGGAAGGGUGAACUGGGGAUCAAAACAAUUGUUUAAUAUACUACAAACAAUUAUUUAUUGUUGACUUAACG
Cyprinus carpio (common carp) is the source of this 1225-nucleotide long non-coding RNA. Lineage: Eukaryota; Metazoa; Chordata; Actinopteri; Cypriniformes; Cyprinidae. The record is from Ensembl.